This 440-nucleotide ribosomal RNA is filed under the name uncultured bacterium. RNAcentral's name for it is "partial 16S ribosomal RNA". It matches the Rfam family "Bacterial small subunit ribosomal RNA", at positions 338 to 795 of the family's 1533-position model. The record is from RNAcentral.
CCUACGGUGCGCAGCAGUGGGGAAUAUUGCACAAUGGGGGAAACCCUGAUGCAGCGACGCCGCGUGAGUGAAGAAGUAUCUCGGUACGUAAAGCUCUAUCAGCAGGGAAGAAAAUGACGGUACCUGACUAAGAAGCCCCGGCUAACUACGUGCCAGCAGCCGCGGUAAUACGUAGGGGGCAAGCGUUAUCCGGAUUUACUGGGUGUAAAGGGAGCGUAGACGGCAGCACAAGUCUGGAGUGAAAUCCCGGGGCUUAACCCCGGAACUGCUUUGGAAACUGUGCGGCUGGAGUGCAGGAGGGGUAAGCGGAAUGCCUAGUGUAGCGGUGAAAUGCGUAGAUAUUAGGAGGAACCCCGAUUGCGAAGGCAGCCUGCCGCAGCGUUACUGACGCUGAAGCUCGAAAGCGCGGGUAUCGAACAGGAUUAGAUACCCUUGUAGUC